RNAcentral lists this ribosomal RNA (460 nucleotides) under uncultured bacterium. Its description in RNAcentral is "partial 16S ribosomal RNA". It matches the Rfam family "Bacterial small subunit ribosomal RNA", at positions 338 to 795 of the family's 1533-position model. The record is from RNAcentral.
CCUACGGGAGGCAGCAGUGAGGAAUAUUGGUCAAUGGACGAGAGUCUGAACCAGCCAAGUAGCGUGAAGGAUGACUGCCCUAUGGGUUGUAAACUUCUUUUAUCAGGGAAUAAAACGAGCCACGUGUGCCUUUUUGCAUGUACUUUAUGAAUAAGGAUCGGCUAACUCCGUGCCAGCCGCCGCGGUAAUACGGAGGAUCCGAGCGUUAUCCGGAUUUAUUGGGGUUAAAGGGUGCGUAGGCGGCCUUUUAAGUCAGCGGGGAAAGUCUGGGGGUCAACCCUAGAAUUGCCGUUGAAACUGGCGGGCUUGAGUAUGUGAGAGGUAGGCGGAAUGCGUGGUGUAGCGGUGAAAUGCUUAGAUAUCACGCAGAACCCCGAUUGCGAAGGCAGCCUACCAGGCCACGACUGACGCUGAUGCACGAAAGCGUGGGGAUCAAACAGGAUUAGAUACCCCAGUAGUC